Long non-coding RNA from Homo sapiens (human), 1184 nucleotides. Ensembl annotates it as SOX5 antisense RNA 1. Its record names the gene SOX5-AS1. The record is from Ensembl. Lineage: Eukaryota; Metazoa; Chordata; Mammalia; Primates; Hominidae.
AAUGCUCAUCACAUAAACAUGAAGUUUCCUCCAAAAGGAAUGAUGACUAAUGCUUUGAGGAAACAGCAGACGUCAGACAGCAAGCCCAGAAAAACCUGCCAGCACCAAGAGGGUGUCCUCAACAGGCGCCUGGGGGACAUAUUAUUCUAACUAAAGAGACCAGAGCUUCCCCAGGAAGGGAAGAGGAGAGAAAUGAAGAACGUCUGUGUUCAUGUUUGCCAAAAACAAAAGUCUGAGAAAUCUCUGAGAGACUCUACAUGGGAGGGCACUAAUCGAAGCACCUCAUUUAAAGUGAGAAAAGCUUUGCUAAGGGCAGAUGAUUCAGCACGGUAUCCUUCGAUGAGUACUGUCAUCUCAAAUCCUUUUUAAGAAGAAAAGUGCAACCCACUGGAGAAAGAGAGGGACUCCGAGGAAGGAGAGAGAGAAGAGCAUCAAGCACAAAUGAUGAUCUCCUAGGACAGUGGCAGCUUCUGAGAAUGCACAGGAAAGUGACCAGGGAAAGAAUGAUUCCAUCUCCAGGAAUCCCUGGUGAUCUUCAGAGCCCAGACAGGACCCUGCUGGGCCAUGGUAACUGAGAAACUGAGAAGCAGAUACAGUGGUCCCUAUGUUGGCAACCUCAGCUGAAGAGGAACAACUCUCUCUAUAAUCAAGACUUAAUCUUGGCCUGGUGUGCCUCAUUUUUAUAGGACUUCUGAAACCAGAAAUCACCAGCGUGGGGAGAGAACAUUAAAGGCAGAGGUGUCUCUUAUAAGCACAACGUGUGACCAGAACUUGGAUUACUGUCAGCUUCUAGUGUCUCCAUCAUUCAUAAUUGCACUGUGUUGGUCCACCCACUUUACUCCUAAAGAAGAGGUACUAUUAUCUCAAUUUUAGAGAUGGAAAAACUAAGCAACAAGUAGUUACAGAAGUUGUCCAGGAUCGCACAGUUAGACAACGGCAGUCAAGUUCUGGUGAGCCCAAAGGCUCCAUCUUAACCACUCUUCUAGGCUACCUCUCCAGGAUGGAAGACACUAUCUUUUCAGGUUUCCAUUCAAUAGAAAAGUCAUCUUGAAGAAGUUUGAUGUUGGAUUUGAUUUUGAAAGACGAAUUGGAGAUUAAGAAGUGGUAAUAAGAGUAAAGAAAAAAACCCAAAUAGAAUUACAAGCACAAAGAGAUGUAGAAAUAAAUAUUUCUUGGAAAGAUAA